This 502-nucleotide ribosomal RNA is filed under the name uncultured bacterium. RNAcentral describes it as "partial 16S ribosomal RNA". It matches the Rfam family "Bacterial small subunit ribosomal RNA", at positions 28 to 523 of the family's 1533-position model. The record is from RNAcentral.
GAUGAACGCUAGCGGCAGGCCUAACACAUGCAAGUCGAGCGGGAUUAGUUAGUAGCUUGCUAUUAACUAUGAGAGCGGCGCACGGGUGCGUAACGCGUAUGCACCCUACCUUAUACUGGGGUAUAGCCCGGAGAAAUUCGGAUUAAUCCCACAUAGUAUUAUCGAUUCGCAUGUUUUGAUAAUUUAAGGUUACGGGAUAAGAUGGGCAUGCGGCCUAUUAGCUAGAUGGUGAGGUAACGGCUCACCAUGGCGACGAUAGGUCGGGGGCCUGAGAGGGUGGUCCCCCACUCUGGUACUGAGACACGGACCAGACUCCUACGGGAGGCAGCAGUGAGGAAUAUUGGUCAAUGGGCGAAAGCCUGAACCAGCCAUGCCGCGUGCAGGAAGACGGUCCUAUGGAUUGUAAACUGCUUUUAUUUGGGAAUAAACUCUGAUACGUGUAUCAGCCUGAAGGUACCAAAUGAAUAAGCACCGGCUAACUCCGUGCCAGCAGCCGCGGUAA